This 460-nucleotide ribosomal RNA is filed under the name uncultured bacterium. RNAcentral's name for it is "partial 16S ribosomal RNA". It matches the Rfam family "Bacterial small subunit ribosomal RNA", at positions 338 to 795 of the family's 1533-position model. The record is from RNAcentral.
CCUACGGGAGGCAGCAGUGAGGAAUAUUGGUCAAUGGACGAGAGUCUGAACCAGCCAAGUAGCGUGAAGGAUGACUGCCCUAUGGGUUGUAAACUUCUUUUAUAUGGGAAUAAAAUGUUCCACGUGUGGGAUUUUGUAUGUACCAUAUGAAUAAGGAUCGGCUAACUCCGUACCAGCAGCCGCGGUAAUACGGAGGAUCCGAGCGUUAUCCGGAUUUAUUGGGUUUAAAGGGAGCGUAGGUGGAUUGUUAAGUCAGUUGUGAAAGUUUGCGGCUCAACCGUAAAAUUGCAGUUGAAACUGGCAGUCUGGAGUACAGUAGAGGUGGGCGGAAUUCGUGGUGUAGCGGUGAAAUGCUUAGAUAUCACGAAGAACUCCGAUUGCGAAGGCAGCUCACUGGACUGCAACUGACACUGAGGCUCGAAAGUGUGGGUAUCAAACAGGAUUAGAUACCCCAGUAGUC